RNAcentral lists this ribosomal RNA (253 nucleotides) under uncultured bacterium. RNAcentral describes it as "partial 16S ribosomal RNA". It matches the Rfam family "Bacterial small subunit ribosomal RNA", at positions 524 to 776 of the family's 1533-position model. The record is from RNAcentral.
UACGGGGGGGGUAAGCGUUGUUCGGAAUUGCUGGGCGUAAAGGGCUCGUAGGCGGCCAACUAAGUCAGACGUGAAAUCCCUCAGCUUAACUGGGGAACUGCGUCUGAUACUGGAUGGCUUGGAUUCGGGAGAGGAAUGCGGAAUUCCAGGUGUAGCGGUGAAAUGCGUAGAUAUCUGGAGGAACACCAAUGGCGAAGGCAGCACUCUGGGCCGGUACUGACGCUGAGGAGCGAAAGCGUGGGGAGCAAACAGG